GCAGAACAAACAGCCCUGCCGCUGCCGCCGCCGCCGCCGCCGCCGCCAGCGCACUGACGUCACCACGUACGCUGCGCGCGCGGCCCCGCGCCGCCACCCGGCGUGCGCGUCCCGCGACCGCGCCCGGCGCAGGCAAGCUCGGGAGAGCUAGCAGGCGCUAGGUGAGUGGGGGAGGCGGGCGCGCGGGGUUGGGGGAACCCCUCGGCUGGAGGGCGCAGGGAUCAGGCGGACCCAGGGAAGACACCCCCGCAGACGGAGGGGCGUGACCCUGCGGACCAGAGGAGAGAACGGGGUGGGGGGGCGGGGAGAUCUAACAGACUGAAGGCUGGGACUGAGAAGGGAGAUGUCCAAAAUUGUAAGAAGAUGAGACCCUCAGCGACAGGGAGGAAGGAAACCAGAAUGUAUCCAUUUGAAGCUGUCCUUUCCAUGGUUGUCUUCUUGUAUUAUCUACUUAAUUUAUUGUUGUUGCUGAUCAUGUUUUUGGAAGUAAUUUGAAGCUGCCAGUUUGCAAGUCAGGUAACAGAAUCUUACACUUUACUUGAGUCACACUUCAUUUAAACAAAACUGUAACAUUUAGCUUGUUCUACUGAACCAAACUGGAGGACUUUGGGCUGUUGCUAGAAGUCAUUUCCAGCCUGAAUAGAAUAUGCAAACUAUAGAGGCAGUUCCAAAAGCUGUUUCCAACAUCCCAUUCUUCUUGUCUUCCAUAGUGCAGACCCUAACUAACUCCUUACAGCUUAAACUCAGAAAAUGUUUAUCCGGUUGAAUCAGUUUCAUAAAAAGUGUUGCUUUUUAAUGGUUCCCAUAAUAAGCACCUUUUCUCUUGUUAUUACUGUGUUUGCAAUACUGAAAACCAGGAGAGAUUAAUAAAAAUAUUAAGGAAUGAGACAUGAAGUACAUACUAUAAUUCUGAUUGGUUUUAAAUAUGCAUUAUUCAUUUUAAAUAAAAUAAUACAUGAAACCAUUUUAACUGAACAAUGAAAAAGAAUCUAGAGAAAAAAA
Molecule: long non-coding RNA, 1002 nt
Organism: Mustela erminea (ermine)
Lineage: Eukaryota; Metazoa; Chordata; Mammalia; Carnivora; Mustelidae
Exons: 2
Source: RefSeq, a predicted model, not a curated record